UGCCUCUGCAACCCCAUGGUCC
RNAcentral lists this microRNA (22 nucleotides) under Canis lupus familiaris (dog). RNAcentral describes it as "cfa-miR-8870". Lineage: Eukaryota; Metazoa; Chordata; Mammalia; Carnivora; Canidae. The record is from miRBase by way of RNAcentral.